Nannospalax galili (Upper Galilee mountains blind mole rat) is the source of this 104-nucleotide small nuclear RNA. Lineage: Eukaryota; Metazoa; Chordata; Mammalia; Rodentia; Spalacidae. The record is from Ensembl.
GUCUUCCCUUUGGCAGCACAUGUACUAAAAUUGGAACAGUACAGAGAUUAUUAUGGCUCCUGCACAGGGAUGACAUACAAAUUUGUGAAGUGUUCCACAGUAAA